GGAGGAAAAGAAACUAACAAGGAUUCCCCUAGUAACGGCGAGUGAAGUGGGAAAAGCUCAACUUUGAAAUCUGGUACUUUCAGUAUCCGAAUUGUAGUCUCAAGAAGUGUUUUCUGUGCCGGUCCAUGUAUGAGUCUGUUGGAACACAGCGUCAUAGAGGGUGACAACCCCGUUCAUGACAUGGAUCCCGGUGCUUUGUGAUACACUCUCGAAGAGUCGAGUUGUUUGGGAAUGCAGCUCAAAUUGGGUGGUAAAUUCCAUCUAAAGCUAAAUAUUGGCGAGAGACCGAUAGCAAACAAGUACCGUGAGGGAAAGAUGAAAAGCACUUUGGAAAGAGAGUUAACAGUACGUGAAAUUGUUGAAAGGGAAACGAUUGAAGUCAGACGUGCGUGAUGCGGUUCAGCUUUAGUUCGCUAGAGUGUACUCCGUAUCUUUGCAGGCCAACAUCGGUUUUGUUAGUCGGAUAAAGGUUUGAGAAAUGUGGCACCUUCGGGUGUGUUAUAGUCUCAGACUGAAUACGAUUGAUGGGACCGAGGAACGCAGCGCGCCGCAAGGCAAAGGUUCCGACCUUUUCGCGCUUAGGAUGUUGGUGAAAUGGCUUUAAACGACCCGUC
RNAcentral lists this ribosomal RNA (614 nucleotides) under Cystobasidium laryngis. RNAcentral's name for it is "eukaryotic LSU rRNA". It matches the Rfam family "Eukaryotic large subunit ribosomal RNA", at positions 52 to 653 of the family's 3401-position model. The record is from RNAcentral. Lineage: Eukaryota; Fungi; Basidiomycota; Cystobasidiomycetes; Cystobasidiales; Cystobasidiaceae.